This is a long non-coding RNA of Rhododendron vialii, 1447 nucleotides long. RefSeq lists it as uncharacterized. The transcript has 3 exons. Lineage: Eukaryota; Viridiplantae; Streptophyta; Magnoliopsida; Ericales; Ericaceae. The record is from RefSeq and is a predicted model, not a curated record.
CCGUUGUGGUGAUCUUUUUAUGGUGGUUCUUACUAUUAUAGAUGUAGUUGAUCAUAGCAGAAGUUAUAAGCAUUAGUUUGACCAAGUGUUUGCAUCAGUUAUACGUAUGGGAUGGGUGAAUGUUGAGUGUUAUGAUAUAGGCAAGAUUAGUAAGAACUGGAUUUUUGAAGUUUAAUUACAACCAAAAGUGUAAAAGGAGGGGAAAAGGGCAUGCAAAACUGUAAUAUCGAGUGGUUCGUAAAGGGAAAUCCUGAAUAAGAACUGGUUCAUGAGUGUGAAGGAAAACCAUGCUUCAGUUCAUAUGGUCCCUGAUGUCGCUAUGAACAUGAAGUGGUUCAUGAAGGAAAAUCAUAAGCAUGCAUUAUAUUAGCAGAACCAUAAAAUUAAUGCAAGAGUAGAACAAUAAAAUAUAUGAUGGAUGGACUCAGACUGUAGCUAUUGCCAUUAAUGUGCACAAAUUAAUGCUAGAGCCCUAACCACAAAUGUGAGUCCACAACGCUAGGAAAAUGGCUUGUCAAAUGCAUGGCGUUAAAAUUGCAAAAUAGGUUCACAUAACGAAGGAUGUAGGUGCAAGGAUAUUGCACAAGGAAAGUUGCCCUGACAGAUUGCAUUCAACAUAAAAGUGAGUAGACAAAGCAAAAUAGGUUUAGACAACCAACAACGUAGCAGUUGCAAACAAAAGAACCGCAGAAGUGUGCAUAAGAUUAGGAAGCCUAGUGGAUGACAGAAGUUCUAAUUCUAACGGGCUGGAACUUUAUAUACACAAACAAAAGGAGAGCUAAAGGACCUUCCAUGUUUGUACAAUUUGAUAAACACACCAGGCAAAACUAAGUAAAGAUGAGAUUGUUUAAAUACCACGCGGAGUUUCUACCCUGGAAGAUACCAAUACCCAAAUUUCAACAUAGUUUGCUCUUUUGCAAUGGUAAAAGGCAAGCAAGCAGUACGCAAGUUAACUACAGUGAAGUGACAAAAAGGAACGAAAAGAUAAUGACGAUAAUCAAUGAGGUUAAACAAUUAAAGCAAGCAGAACUAUCAAAUUUCACAGAAUUAAAGUAAGCAGAACUAUUGUAUUUUAUUGAUGACAGAAUGUUUUAUCCCAACAAAUGGAAGCAUGAUGACCUGGUGGAUCGUGAAAUUCCCGCCACUGUAGAUUUGGACCAGCCCACCGGUAAACAAGUUCUUGAUCACUUUCAUCAAAGAUUGCAGUAUGGAAAAUUAACUUUCGUUGACACGGCGAUGGUGAUUUUAAACCCGACUUUAGGUUAUGGGUUUCAGAGAAAGUAUCCCAACCUUCACCAAAUUGGAAAUUAACAAUUUCAAUUGGCCAAGCUCUGAAACCAUGCCUAAUUAGAAUCCAUGUGCUUACACCACCACUAGGGAAGUAGUUGCGAAGACCAUUUGCACAAACCUGUGCAAAAUCAGCUGGGCCAAUGGAGUUCAGGUGUCU